Molecule: ribosomal RNA, 486 nt
Filed under: Brevibacillus panacihumi
Lineage: Bacteria; Bacillati; Bacillota; Bacilli; Caryophanales; Paenibacillaceae
Description: bacterial SSU rRNA
Rfam family: Bacterial small subunit ribosomal RNA
Source: RNAcentral
CUUGACCAUCCUGCUGACCGCUUUGGAGACAGAGCUUCCCUUCGGGGCAACGGUGACAGGUGGUGCAUGGUUGUCGUCAGCUCGUGUCGUGAGAUGUUGGGUUAAGUCCCCGCAACGAGCGCAACCCUUAUUUUUAGUUGCCAGCAUUCAGUUGGGCACUCUAGAGAGACUGCCGUCGACAAGACGGAGGAAGGCGGGGAUGACGUCAAAUCAUCAUGCCCCUUAUGACCUGGGCUACACACGUGCUACAAUGGUUGGUACAACGGGAUGCUACCUCGCGAGAGGACGCCAAUCUCUUAAAACCAAUCUCAGUUCGGAUUGUAGGCUGCAACUCGCCUACAUGAAGUCGGAAUCGCUAGUAAUCGCGGAUCAGCAUGCCGCGGUGAAUACGUUCCCGGGCCUUGUACACACCGCCCGUCACACCACGGGAGUUUGCAACACCCGAAGUCGGUGAGGUAACCGCAAGGAGCCAGCCGCCGAAGGUGG